ACGACUCUCAGUAACGAAUAUCUUGGCUCUUGUAAUGAUGAAGAAUGCAGUGAAAUGCGAUAUGUAGUGUGAAUUGCAGAAUUUCCUAAAUCAUUGAGUCUUUGAACGCAAGUUGUGCCCGUGGCUCAUCCAAGGGCAUGUCUUCCUUUGCAUCCUC
RNAcentral lists this ribosomal RNA (157 nucleotides) under Psilotum nudum. Its description in RNAcentral is "5.8S ribosomal RNA". It matches the Rfam family "5.8S ribosomal RNA". Rfam says of the family: 5.8S ribosomal RNA (5.8S rRNA) is a component of the large subunit of the eukaryotic ribosome. It is transcribed by RNA polymerase I as part of the 45S precursor that also contains 18S and 28S rRNA. The record is from RNAcentral. Lineage: Eukaryota; Viridiplantae; Streptophyta; Polypodiopsida; Psilotales; Psilotaceae.